Molecule: ribosomal RNA, 444 nt
Filed under: uncultured bacterium
Lineage: Bacteria
Description: bacterial SSU rRNA
Rfam family: Bacterial small subunit ribosomal RNA
Source: RNAcentral
UCAGGCCUAACACAUGCAAGUCGAACGGGUGUAGCAAUACAUUAGUGGCGCACGGGUGAGUAAUGCAUGGGAGAUCUGCCGAGUAGAGAUGGAUAGCUUCUGGAAACGGAAGGUAAUACGUCGUAAGCAGUAUUGUAGAGAGACAGUACUGGAAAGGAGGGGACCGUAAGGCCUUCCGCUAUUUGAUGAGCCCAUGUCCCAUUAGCUAGUUGGUAGGGUAAGAGCCUACCAAGGCGAAGAUGGGUAGCUGGUCUGAGAGGAUGAUCAGCCACACUGGAACUGAGACACGGUCCAGACUCCUACGGGAGGCAGCAGUGGGGAAUAUUGCGCAAUGGGCGAAAGCCUGACGCAGCAAGCGCCGCGUGAGUGAAGAAGGCCUUUGGGUUGUAAAGCUAUUGCGGCCGGGAAGAAGGGUGAUGGGACGAAUAAUCUUGUCAUUUGAUG